RNAcentral lists this long non-coding RNA (39508 nucleotides) under Salvia miltiorrhiza (redroot sage). RNAcentral describes it as "long non-coding RNA (SMIL_LNC007551)". The record is from RNAcentral. Lineage: Eukaryota; Viridiplantae; Streptophyta; Magnoliopsida; Lamiales; Lamiaceae.
GUCGUCUUCAACCUUUCCCAUAGAACAUCAGUCAUUGAUUGAGAGAGAAAAACGACCUUGGACGCUCCGCCAUUCCCCUUGAACACCAGUCGUCAUCUUCGAUCUUCCCAGACAACACCAGAUUCCGCCACUCCCGUGUGUAUUAAUUCCUCUGUUAUUGUUGUUCUGGAAUUCUAUGUAAAAUCCAUCUAUUUCUUCAAUUUCGCAAGUGUUUCCUUUGAAAUUCUCCAAUCCCUGCUCUGGAAUUUGUCAAUUUCGCAAAAGUAUUUCUUUAAUUCCUGUUCUGGAAUUCUUCAAUUUCGCAAGUGUUUCCUGUGUUUUUGUGCAUCCAUCUAUAUAUAUUUAAAAUCCAUGUAAUUUUUUAUUUUUGAAUGCAUAACUAAUGAAGCGCGACCUUCACCUUCUCCUUUUGAAUGCCAUACUAUGAAUAAUAGAUAAAGUUUCACCAAAACUCAGUCAUAAAAAUUUCCACGUGUUUUAUUAAUUCCUUACUUGUGAUCACUAUUUUAUAUAUAUACAUAUUUUAUCUGAGCGCGAGUUUGAGCUCAUCCGAUCUCUUGUAUUCUUCUUGAUUGCACAGUUUCCGGCUUGUUGCCGGACGAAGAUAUCCUUCCUCCUCUUCGAGAAGCACUUAAUUGAGCUCUUCAAGAAAGUUUGAUAAGACUCAUUUUUUGAGCUUUAUUAUUCAUGAAUUGAUCCUUGAGCUUUACGUGAUCUCGAUUAAUUUUCUCUAUCAAUUGAUUUGUUGAUGAAUUAACCUCUUUUCUUGCACUAUGAUCAGUAAACUUCCUGUUGUAAGUUUAAAUUGUAGUGCUUAAAAACUUUGGACAGCUCGCAAGAUAGAGAAAUGGUUAGCAGGCCAAGACAUAUUUGAACUUCCCUUCCCCAUUUUCUAGUUUUAUGUUUUGAACUUCUAUAUUUAAUUUAACAAUCUUAAUAAGAGAGAACUUGGCUACUAUUGAUAGGAAUAGUACUGUAGAAAAAAUAGUGCCCAUGGUAUUUUCGUAAUUGUUGUUUCAUUUGUGGGUUUUUGCAAAAAAAAAAAAAUAUCUGUUUUAUCUUCAAUACCUCUGCAGAUUUUUCUUCUUCUACUUUCACUUUUUACUUUCUAUGUUUUCAGUUUUGCAACAAAAAAAACGAGAUUUCCUGUCAAUCUUUGUCCGGUGAAAGUGGAUAAUCUGAUCAUAAUCCAACAAAAAAUCACACUAGACAAAUCCACUACAUCAACAACACAAGUAGGUGAGUUUGAUUUCUGCACCCCGCUUUUUAUCAUUAAUUUUUUAAAUAACCCUAGAAUUUUUACAAAAAACAGAGCUCCGCAUAACACAAUCGAAUUAGAGUCUUGUGGUUGGGUUUCUUGCUUUGUUGUUUGCUUUGAGGGCGCCGAUCGGGAACAGAGAGUCUUGGCUGAGUUUUUUGUGUCGUUGGUCCAUCGCCAGAAGCACAGGUAUGUUAUCUUAAUUCUGGUUUACAGAAUCCAAUACGUCUAUUCUCUUUCUUGUGGAAUACAGAUUUACAAUGCUUGCUUAUUUGCUAUUGUCAAAAUAAAAUCAGAAUUAGUUGUAUCAAUUGAAAAUAUCACAAGAUAAAUACAAAACUUGCUAUUAGGGCAGUUUGGUCGAAGCAGAAACAUGUCGGAGGCCCUCCUCUAUCACUGAUACAGAAGCUCGACACUAAUUAUCGAAGGCAUGAACCAAAUGACGAAAAGGUAAUUAAAGAGAUGCGAGAGAUUGUGGAUAUUGUGAGGGAUAAGAAAUUGGUAGAGGGGAGAAUCCUAAAUUUUUUGGUAUGUGACCUUGUCGACGUAGCUGAUGAUGCUCUCUACCUUUUCAAACAAGACGUAACCUAUCCUUGGAACUUUGACUCCGUGCAUAGUUGGAUGGGAGAGAUAAAAAAACGCAUGCUUAAACUGGGAGAUGAUGGGGCAAAGACAGAGUCCAACAUGAGAUCAUCACACGACACGUCCCGACUUAGGUGUACGCGAUGAAGAUGUUCAAAAGAUGAAACCUUUGGAUUCUAAGCAGAGUUGGCAAUUGUUUCUGAAAACAAUAAAUCAUGGCAAUAAAUUGACGGGUGAGCACAAAUUCCCUAUGUCCUUGAAGCAUAUGGCAGAACAAAUGUUGAGAAAAUGUGGCGGUCUGCCAUUAGGUAUAAAAGAGGUAGGAAAGCAGUUAGCGGAAAAGAAAGUCUCGGGAGGGAGUGAAUGGGAACAACUUCUUGAAUCAGUUGAUUUUGGUUCAACAUUGAAGUUUUUAGAACCAUUUUAUCAUAAGUUGGAUCCCAAACUGGACUCAUGUUUCUUGUCUAUGGCCUUCUUUAAGGAAAAUAUAACUUUGAGGAAAGAAAAGUUGAUACAGAUUUGGGUUGCUGGAGGAGUAGUAGUACAGGCUUCAGAGAAUAUGACUGUGGACUAUAUUUAGAUGGUUUAGUCAAUGAAUCCUUUAUUGAAGUCGGGGACAAGAGCACGGAGUAUGACUUGAAUGCUCUACUACACAUGCUAUCCAUUCAAAAAGCAGAGCAGAAACUAUGUUUUGAGAUCCUAAGGAACAACGGAAAUAAUCGACCCUCUGAGAGUCCUCGUCAUCACCGUGUUAUCAUUUGUAGCAGAGAUAAGUUCAACUACUCCACGGAUCAAGAUAAACAUCUUGUGUCUCUCUUCUUCCAUGGAGCACGGUUUCUUGUGUCGUUGUCUGCAUUGAGAGUACUGGCCGCUGUCGGCGUCGGCUUUAGCUGAGUUGUGGCUCAGUUUUUUGUGUCGUUGUCUGCGUUGAGAGUACUGCNGUCGAAGCAGAAACAUGUCGGAGGCCCUCCUCUAUCACUGAUACAGAAGCUCGACACUAAUUAUCGAAGGCAUGAACCAAAUGACGAAAAGGUAAUUAAAGAGAUGCGAGAGAUUGUGGAUAUUGUGAGGGAUAAGAAAUUGGUAGAGGGGAGAAUCCUAAAUUUUUUGGUAUGUGACCUUGUCGACGUGGCUGAUGAUGCUCUCUACCUUUUCAAACAAGACGUAACAUAUCCUUGGAAAUAUAACUCAAUCAAUAAUCGAAUCACAAAGAUAAAAACGACAACCUUAAACUGGGAGAUGAUGGGGCAGAGACAGAGUCCAACAUGAGAUCAUCACACGACACGUCCCGACUUAGGUGUACGCGAUGAAGAUGUUCAUAAGAUGAAACCUUUGGAUUCUAAGCAGAGUUGGCAAUUGUUUCUCAAAAACAUAAAUCAUGGCAAUAAAUUGACGGGUGAGCACAAAUUCCCUAUGUCCUUGAAGCAUAUGGCAGAACAAAUGUUGAGAAAAUGUGGCGGUCUGCCAUUAGGUAUAAAAGAGGUAGGAAAGCAGUUAGCGGAAAAGAAAGUCUCGGGAGGGAGUGAAUGGGAACAACUUCUUGAAUCAGUUGAUUUUGGUUCAACAUUGAAGUUAUUAGAACCAUUUUAUCAUAAGUUGGAUCCCAAACUAGACUCAUGUUUCUUGUCUAUGGCCUUCUUUAAGGAAAAUAUAACUUUGAGGAAAGAAAAGUUGAUACAGAUUUGGGUUGCUGGAGGAGUAGUAGUACAGGCUUCAGAGAAUAUGACUGUGGACUAUAUUUAGAUGGUUUAGUCAAUGAAUCCUUUAUUGAAGUUGGGGACAAGAGCACGGAGUAUCACUUGAAUGCUCUACUACACAUGCUAUCCAUUCAAAAAGCAGAGCAGAAACUAUGUUUUGAGAUCCUAAGGAACAACGGAAAUAAUCGACCCUCUGAGAGUCCUCGUCAUCACCGUGUUAUCAUUUGUAGCAGAGAUAAGUUCAACUACUCCACGGAUCAAGAUAAACAUCUUGUGUCUCUCUUCUUCCAUGGAGCACGGUUUCUUGUGUCGUUGUCUGCAUUGAGAGUACUGGCCGCUGUCGGCGUCGGCAUCGGCUUUAGCUGAGUUGUGGCUCAGUUUCUUGUGUCGUUGUCUGCGUUGAGAGUACUGCCCAGUGUCGGCAUCGGCAUCAGCAGCAGCUUUCUUAGCUGCUCAUCAGCAUCAACCAUUUAAUUUUUAAUCACAGCCGUUUAAAUACUAGUGAUCUAUGGUUAAUAGUUGGUCUUAUUUUAUAGACUUAGAGUGGUUCAUUGAAUAGCGGCACCCUAUAUAUUUGAAUCUAUUUAUUUGAUCUAACUGUUAUUCUUUGUUUUGUAAUUAAAAUGUUUUUGUUACUUACUGCCAUGAUCUAAUUAGGUUGUCAAAAGAAAUGGAAGAGCGUAUGAUUCCAAUGAAUAAGAUUCUAACAGGAUUGAAGGAAUGGAAAUGCAAGGUGAGAGUGAUCAAGAAGCUAGGAGCUAAGCAAGCUAACAAUAAUCUUAAUAAAUUUCAGAAACUAAUCUUGGGUGAUGGCUUGGUAAAUUAAUGAGUAUCCCUUACAUUUAAGCUGUUGUUGUGAGUUUUUCUUACCUUUAAAAGGUGACAUAUAUUAAUUUUUUUGUUCUUUUUAGGGCCACACUCUUGAUGCUGUGAUAUUCCAUGAUAAUAUAGAUAGGUUCAAACAUGUGCUUCAAGAGGGUAAUGCUACAUGGUGAAAGGAGCCUAUGUUUCUGAUCCAAAGCAAUAAAGGAAUCCAAUUGUGACAUGUAAUUCCCAAUGGACGUUCAGAAAAGAUACUUCGGUGAAUGAAGAACCAAAUGAUUCGAUACCGAUUGGUGGACUAUGUUAUAGAACAACUCCAAGUUGCGAGUUCCACAAAUUCCUCUCAACAAAGACAUAUUGAUCAGUUAAGCUAAGCAACUCAAUUAUUGAAGAAUUGCGAAUGAUAUUUCUAUAUUUAUUUUAUCAAUAUCUUGUGUAAGUUUAGGAAAAGAAUUAUUGUACUUAUUAUAUUUUAGAACGAGAUUAUUUUAGUGUGACUUAAAUGUUAAUUAAUCAUUUUCUUCUCUUACUUAGAUACUGCUCGUGUCAUUAUUGGUACCCAUGAACCUCGGGUAGUCACAAUCAAUGGACAGGGUAAAGUCAUUCGUGAGUAUGCUGCUAUUGAUACAGAGUAUGUUAGAUACACGAUGAGUUAUUGUUUUCCUAUUUCUUUACAUAUGUUUAGUUUAGUUUAUAAUAACAUAAUUCAUGGAAAUGUAGGCUGGAAACGUUCGUGGUGACAUUCUGGGAAGAUUCUGUAUCCGAUGAGAUCUAUGCUAAAUUGGAACCUAUUUCGAAUAGGACACCGUUGUUGUUGUUGUUGAAUUUUUUAGUCGUGUCAUAUUACGGUAUGCAUGAUUUUACGUGGUCAGAUAAAUUAUACAUACAUAAAUUGUUAGGCACAAUCGAUGAUAGUUAGUCUUUAAUGUUCAGGAUUGAGUCUGACCACCAAUGCUCAGUCAAUUGUCUUGGAUGGCUCUGAGAGUGAAAUGCUAAUUGAACUAGAGUGAUGGUAUUGUAUAAUCUGUAUAACAAUUAAGAACCUUAUCAUGUGAAUAUUUUUGUUCCUAAGUUGCUUAUAAUUAUCAUAAACAGGAAGCAAGAGAAUGAAGAGGCCAUUAACAUGUUAGUACAAACUGGUGGUUUUUUUGAAAAGAAAGUGUUGCGCUCACCCAAGCAACCUCUGCAGAUUACUAAAGUGGAUCAAAUAUUGCAGAAUAAAGAGGUGACUUACUUUAUAUUGUACUUGCACAAGUAACAUGAAUUUAACAUUUUUUUAAUUUCUUUUUCAGAAUACAUACUUUAAUGUAAAAGUUAAAGCAAGGUUGGAAAAUGAAUACCAAGACUACUUUUACAUUGGUUGUCCAAUAUGUUCCACAAAGACAGCUGCCUCAUAUGGUAUAGAGUUCAUGUGUUACUCAACACCAUGCAAGAAUAUGAGAAUAGAAAAUCGGAGGUGUUAAUAUAUCUAUUAAUACAUCUUUUCUUAAUUAGCUCAUAUAGAUUUGUACAAGUGUGUAUAUUAGAACACUUGAUUUUACUACAACUUCAGAUUUAGUCUCAUGGUCUUUGAUGCGUCUGGACAAGUGGAAGUCACUUUUCUGGGGAAAGAAGCUCAAAAACUUCUUGGCCUAGAUCCUUCUGAGUUUUAUAAAUAACAAAAUCUGGUGAGUAUUCUACUAUACAAUGGUCGAGUAUUAUCACAUUUACAAAAUUUGGAUUUUCUUAGGCAACGCCUAUGCAAUAUUGUCUUACUCUUAAAGAUAAAAAGUCGAAUAUUUAAAGAUGUUUGUUCUUUCACUGCAGAUGCUAUUGAGAUUUUACAAGAUGAUGCUGCAAUACCAUCUGAGAAAAUUAGCUUUGAACCUGACGAAGUUCAUCUAGAGCAAGGUUUGUAUAAUUUUUUCUUCUAUUCUAUGUAUUAUUCAAUUAAGAUGAUAAUAAUUUAAGUAUUUUAAUUCUUCAGGGGUGCUAAAAAGUGCGACGAGGCAAUUGGUUUUCAUGAUUCAUUAGGUGAAAUAUUUCCAACUAAUUUUGUGAUGGAAACCAAUUAAUAUUUAUUGUAAUUAAAUUUGAACAUUUUAGUUAAAUUAAGUUAAAAUUUAUUUUGAUUUUUUGUAAUGAUGAUUGCUGUAAUUAAUAUAGAUAAUGAUGAAGACAUUCGAGCAAAGGAUGCUACCAAAGCUAAAGGCAAGGGGAAAAUGUCUCAAGAAACCCAUGUUGAAUAUGCUAUUCUUGCUUGAAAAGAUAAUAAUUACUCCCUCCGUCCCAGCUUUUUGUAUCCACUUUUAGUAGUGGAUACUGGUGAAGUAUAAUUGAACGGGUAUAGAUUUAAUCGGCAUAUUAUUAUUGGAUUUCGAAUUAUACCUAGUGUUGCUUGGGAAACGAGAGAGAAAAGUAAGGUUGAAAGCACAAAAAUCCGAUUGUUAUUAUAUUGCAAGUGAAGAUAGCGUAAGUUUAAAAAGCUGGGACGGAGGAAGUAUAAUUUUGCAACAACAGAUACAAUUGGAAGCUCAUUUGAAGAUAGUCUUUCUUCUGAUGAUGAUAAACCAAUAUCAGGUAUCACAUCCACUGUUAUAAAUAGAUACUUAAUAUUAAUUGCAAAUUCAUUUAAUAUAACUAUAUUGCUUCUCCAUCACAAAAAUCUUCAGGGGUAAAAAAAAUUUGCUCUAUUGUUCUAUCCGAUGAUUCAAGAAAUGAUAGUCUGAAUUGUGUAGUGGAAUCGGCUAGAAAGAGGUGUNAUAAACCAAUAUCAGGUAUCACAUCCACGGUUAUAAAUAGAUACUUGAUAUUGCAAAUUCAUUUAAUAUAAUCAUAUUGCUUCUCCAUCACAGAAAUCUUCAGGGGUAAAAAGAAAAUUUGCUCUAUUGUUCUAUCCGAAGAGUCAAGAAAUGACAGUAUGAAUUGUGUAGUGGAAUCGGCUAAAAGAGGUGUGUCACCAAAAUUUAGAAAUUAUUUUUAAAAGAAUCUAGGUUUGACAUUGUGAUUUUUUUUUUUUUACAUAUAUAAUAACAAAAUUUUAUGUGAUGAAAAAAUGCACGCACACCCAAUAAGAAAUUUUCUAGGUUUAAUUUUCAUAUUUUAUUCAUCUAAGAAAUCGAGUUCAAUACAUAUUCUAUAUCAGGUAACAUUGGAAAAAUCAAAAGAAGAUUUGUUAGCAAAAGAAAAAAAGUUGUACACUUUGAUCUUUCUGAAGAUUCAGGUAUUCAAUUAUUAUUACAAGAUUUAGUAGAUUUUGCUAAAGAUUUUCAUGAUAUGUUUUCCACCAGAAAAUGAUAAUCAUGGCUUAGUGAAAAUGAGGAUUAUUCUUAUCACUUUGGAUAGAUCGAUGUUGGUGAAACUUUCAAUAUUCUUUUCCAUGAGUAGUGAAUUUUUGACUUUUUUAUUGCAAUGGAGAAAUUGUAUAACUAAUAUAAGAAUAAUGAUUGAUCUAACAAUAUUUAUGUUGGUUUUGUAAUGUUAGAUAAUGAUGAUACGAUUGAGAAUUUUGAUGAUGCACAUUUGGAUAAGCCUCUAUCAGGUAAUAGUUAGACAUGAUAGAUAGUAUUUUAAAUCUUCUAGAAUUUAUUAAUCGAGCAAAUGAUGAAAUAUUAUUGUGUCAUUGUUAGAAAUUUUAAAAAUACAAAAGAAAGCUAAAAACAUUAGCAUGACGUCAUAAGGUCAGGUAAACAUGAAGAUCAAAGAUCCUCAAGCAUGCACAUCUAAACAUUCUAAUUUUAAAUUGAUAUCGCUUAUGCUAAUCUAUUCAUGUUUUGAACUACCAUUAAUUUGUUACUAUUGUGUAAUUACCAUGAAAUCUAAACCAAUAGACAUAUGUACCGGUUACUUGCUUAGCUCCAACUACUUAUAAAACGUAUACAAAUAUAAUUUAUAAGCAACUUUAUUUUUAGAUGAAUUUGUGGAGAGAGUAACUGAUAGCAAACUUGUUGAAGAUUCUCAUAUGGAGUCAUGUCUACCUUUGGCAGGUAAAUUAUUCAACCAAUUAGAUAAAUUUUCGUUUCUAAUAUUCUUCGUUGUUAACAAUAUUAACUCAAUCAUUUAGGCACACUAUACCGGGAGAAACAGGACCUUGUGGCAUAAACAUCAAAGAAGACUAAAAUAACUCAAGCUAAGGACAAACAUGUAGCUAAGGGUACAAAACUGAAAAACUAGAGAAAAACUAUUGUCAUUAUAUAGACACUUAAUCUUUGAAGUGUGUUCUUGUAUGAUUGAUGGGAGUUUCUGUGCAACAUUAUCAGCAAAGAAGGCGAAGAAAAUGAAGUCUAAUAUCUUAAAAGACAAGAUACAAAGCUAGCAUAUCUGAUUCAUCCCACCAACUUACUGAAGUGGUUGUCGAGCAUAAUAAAGGUUAGUAUUCUACAUGAGGCAACGGUGUUAAUAGUUCUAAAUCAAAUCAUCAAUGAUAUAGGAUAUUAUGCAAAUACAUUAUGUUUGUCAUUAACUAAUUUUAUUAAUAUUAUCAUCAACUUUUAGGCAAAGGAGUCCCACAAACACCAACACUCAAGUCAAGGAGUGGCAGAACAAUCAAGCGAAGAAUAUUGGACUAAUGAAGUGAAAGAUUUUAUGAGACUUUGAAGCAACUUCUGUAUGUACUUUGACUUUUGCCUCUAUUACACCGCGUCGGUCACAUUCUACUAUAUUUUGAGGUUACCUUUUGCAUGUACAUUGUAUAUGCCUCGAUGUAGUUUUUAGCUUAAUGCGAUAUGUAUAUAUAACGCGUAAUGUCUAAAAGGAUAGUUAAAUAGGUUAUAUAUAAAUUGUAUUGUGUAGAUUGUUGCUCCUAGCUGUACAAAUUAAAUACUCUUUGCUGUAUUACAACUGUGACCUACAAGUCAUAGUAUAAUAUGUCUACACUUAAAAAUGAUUCGACUAGCGCCGUUAUUGGUCACAUAAUUCACGGAGCAAUUAUGGAAACACCGCGUCCUACGCGGUGCAGAAUUUCUAGUAUAUACAUGUUUGACAUUAAUAACUAUAUUCAGCUUAACUCAGACACAACAGUUGGAGACUUCUAGCAGCCAUGCUUCAUUGCAGGUAGUGUGGAGGUUUCCAAAUUCUUGUUCAUGAAGAUGCAUGAGUAUAUAUACAGUAAAAUGAGUAAAACCAACCUCAUGUUCAGUGUGACAAAGUGAGCAUAUGUCCACAUAUAGCAUCUCUGGAAUAACUAGAAAGUAAAACACAAGAAAAAAGCUCUUGAAAAGAUAGAAUACUACUUGAUAUAAGCAUAUAAGAAACAGAGACACAAUUAUUCCAGAUAUAGCAUACCUUCUCAAUUAAAGUGUGAGCUUUUGGUUAAUGCAAAUAUUGUUCUGUUGGCCAGAAUAUUAACAACUAAGCAUCACUAACUAAUUCCCCACGGAGAGGUAUAUCCAGUGGCGAAGCCAGGAAUUUAGUUCUGGGGGGCUGAACUUUGACGGAGCUCGAGUUUUUUUUUGGGGGGGGGGGGGCAUUCCAUACAUUAGAGACAUUUUUUAUUAAAAGACAAACAUAAGAGUAAUAAUAAAGAGCAACAUUUUCAUAGAUUAUAUAAUUUCAAUACAUUACAAUUUUUUUUGGAGCAUUCCGUACAUUUUAGGCAUUCUUUAUUAAAAGACAAGUACAAUAAUAAUAAUAACAAACAACAUUUUCUUAGAUUAUAGUCUCUGAGAGCGGACGAGUAUGGGUGACUGCCCAGGGCCCAUAAUUAUCGGGGGCCUAAAAAAAUUUACAUCCUCUUAUGUAUACUAUUAUUAUUACUUACUAGUUCGCUACCCGUCGAAAUUCAACAAAAAUUACUUAUUAUAUAUAGGUUUUGUUAAUAAUUUUAAGUAUAAAUUUGAUAAUAGUAUAAUUUUGCAGAUUAUGAACUUCGUUUAUAUAUACUCAUAUCUAUACUAUAUUAAAAAGGGAGCUCUCAAUUUCAAAUUGAUUUCAAAUCAAUUUGAAAUUGAUUUCAAUGACAAUUUUGAAAAUAUCUUUAAUAUGAAGGUUAGAAAUUAAAUGAUCCAUAUUAACCCCAUUAUCUCUCACUCACAUUCUGUCACACCCCAAUUCUUGAAUGAAGAAAUAUAAUCGAGGUGCAACUAAUUCAUAGAAAUAAACAAGGAACAACCUUGUUAAAACCCGAAUAAUAAGAUAACGAGUCGGGCUAGGCCCCUUUGGAUCACAAGUUUUGUUUCAUGUUUCUGACAACCGACGUUCAUUAACAUAAAACUAGAAAUUUUAAAUUGAAGUUCAACAUGAAGUCAUCUUAAGUUGAGAAAACAAAAGUUGUAUAAGAGUAAUUACUACAGCGGAAGUCUAUAUAGAAAUUGAACCCUAGCCUCAGCUCAGUCCCGUCAGCACCGGCCAGUCAACCUGAAAACAUUUGAAAGUAUUUUUGGGCUAAGUACUAAUGUACUCAGUGGGCAUGCAUUUUCAUAAACAUUUCAUAUUUUCGUAAAGACAGUUUAUCCAAUCAUACUUGACAUAACUUAGAAGGUUUUAAAGUGAAAUAACUUCUAAGCAUGUUAAAAUAAUUUCUUUCAUUUGUGCGCACAUGUCACACUCCCUUUCCGUUACUCGCUGUGAUCCCGGACCUUUUAGCCACCGACGGUUCCAUUUCUCCCAUUGCACUUGCCCUGAGGACGUAACUCAGACAAGUUGAAUUGACCUCGGGACGCUACCCAGGCAGGCCUUACAUGAUACAUGCUCCGGAACACAUCCCGUCGAGCACCCUUAUAACGCCUCUACAUGGAUUAGUGCCCGAUGGAGAUCAACCCACCGGGUCAGCUAACAUGUGUACACAAUUCUCAAAUAACGUGUUAGGUCAUAAGAGAACCUCGAUCGAUUCAUUUUGCGAGCCUUAAACAGAGCAGAGUGCACAAAACAUUUUAUUGGAUAAACAGUUUGCAUUUUAUUGAAUAAACAAUUUGCAUUUCAUUGAAACAUUUAGAGCUUAAUAACUCAAUCAUACUUUAUACAUUUGGAAAGUAAGCCCACCUGGAUAGGCAAAGCCUGAAGAUCAUAAUCACAUAUAAACAUGUCUUGGGAAAGCAGCGCUAAUCCCCUUGGUCCACAAAGCCUACAAGAAAUUCUAUUCUUAAUAGGUCUCGUGAAUCUAACUUAAGUCUUAGUGAAGUGCUUAACAUUCUAUGAUUCAUCACGCCGGGUUUUCAAAAUUUAAUAAAUAAAUAAUUGAAAACAAAUUCUUGAGUUAAGGACACCAACAAUAUCCUUACUCGAUUUUCUUUAAUAAUUGGAAUUAUAAAUAAAACCAAUUAAAUCAUAAAUACUUUUAUUGCAAAAUAUAAUGCAAUUCAUUGUCAUGCUUUACUCAUAUGAUAAGUAAUAACUUAACAUAUGCACAUAAUAAUAAUAUAAUAUUAUUAUGCAAAUUAUUCCUUAAAAUAAUAAUUAAUCAACUAUUAAAAGUCUAGUUAAUUAAAACAUAUUAGCCCAUUAUAAAUAAAUAGAACAUGCCCAAGCUUAAAUCAAAGAAUCGGUCCAACUUAAUAAUAUAAAUUAGCCCACAAUUGAAAUGAGAAGCCCUUUUGUUAAAAAUUCGCAGCCCACCUCAAAUAAAUAAGACGUGGCCCUAUUAUAAUAUAAAAACAAGUCCAAACAUUUAUUAAAAACCGGCCAAAACUCGGCCCAACCUCAAACUCCCUUUUUCCCCUUUUUUUUUUCAGAAUCAAACACGCACACACACUCUUAGCUUUCUCUCUCUCUCUGCUCACCACCCAGAUCCGCCUCUCUCUCUCCCUCGAAUCUCCUCCGGCGGCGACCGCCGCCGAUCACCCCGCCUUCAUCUCCCUCGUCGCACCACACCAUUCGGCUCACCAAUACCCACGAAAGAAACAGCGAAGCAGCGGCGAUUCCGCCUCCGCCUUCCUCCUUGGCGACGGCGAGGCGCCGCCGCCUCCCUCGAUCUCUCGUCUUCCCCGGCAAAGCGCCGCCUCUCCUAUGCUCCCCCUGUAAACUCCGACAUCGACAAGGCCAUCGAGUCUCUCCCUCAUCUCCCCUCGUUUCUCCUCUCCCCUGCUCCGGACAGAACGACGGCAGAGCCGCCGCCGCCGCCCUUAGGCUCCCAAAUCCGGUCUCCUCUCGCUCCAAUUCUCGGCGACCAUAGCAGUAGCCAUGGCUGCCGCCGAUGACAAACGCUACAAGCCACCUGGAACCAAAGGUUCCCAAUUCCGACCUUCCCUUCUAAAUCCGGCGACGACGGUCAGCAGCUUCACGCCAACACCGCCGUGCCCUAGCUACUGCCUCCCUCUUCCCCUUUGUUCGGUNUCAUGUUUUGAACUACCAUUUGUUACUAUUGUGUAAUUACCAUGAAAUCUAAACCAAUAGACAUGUGUACCGGUUACUUGCUUAGCUCCAACUACUUAUAAAACGUAUACAAAUAUAAUUAAGCAACUUUAUUUUUAGAUGAAUUUGUGGAGCAACUGAUAGCAAACUUGUUUAAGAUUCUCAUAUGGAGUCAUGUCUACCUUUUACAGGUAAAUUAUUCAACCAAUUAGAUAAAUUUUCGUUUCUAAUAUUCUUCGUUGUUAACAAUAUUAACUCAAUCAUUUAGGCACACUAUACCGGGAGAAACAGGACCUUGUGGCAAAAACAUCAAAGAAGACUAAAAUAACUCAAGCUAAGGACAAACAUGUAGCUAAGGGUACAAAACUGAAAAACUAUUGUCAUUAUAUAGACACUUAAUCUUUGAAGUGUGUUCUUGUAUGAUUGAUGGGAGUUUCUGUGCAACAUUAUCAGCAAAGAAGGCGAAGAAAAUGAAGUCUAAUAUCUUAAAAGACAAGAUACAAAGCAUAUCUGAUUCAUCCCACCAACUUACUGAAGUGGUUGGUCAAGCAUAAUAAAGGUUAGUAUUCUACAUGAGGCAACGGUAAUAGUUCUAAAUCAAAUCAUCAACGAUAUAGGAUAUUAUGCAAAUACAUUAUGUUUGUCAUUAACUAAUUUUAUUAAUAUUAUCAUCAACUUUUAGGCAAAGGAGUCUCAGUGGCAAAACAAUCAAGCGAAGAAUAUUGGACUAAUGAAAUGAAAGAUUUUAUGAGACUUUGAAGUAACUUCUGUAUGUACUUUGACUUUUGCCUCUAUUACACCGUGUCGGUCACAUUCUACUACAUUUUGAGGUUACCUUUUGCAUGUACAUUGUAUAUGCCUUGAUGCAGUUUUUGGCUUAAUGCGAUAUGUAUAUAUAACGCGUAAUGUCUAAAAGGAUACUUAAAUAGUUUAUAUAUAAAUUGUAUUGUGUAGAUUGUUGCUCCUAGCUGUACAAAUUAAAUACUCUUCAUUGUAUUACAACUGUAACCUACAAGUCGUAAUAUAAUAUGUCUACACUUAAAAAUGAUUUGAAUAGCUCCGUUAUUGGUCACAUAAUUCACGGAGCAAUUAUGGAAACACCGCGUCCUACGCGGUGCAGAAUUUCUAGUUAUUUCAUAAGCUUUAAUGAGAGAAUCUUCACCUCUUUAAUGAAUUUCAAUCUUAUACUUCCUCCGUCACAUCAUAAGUGAGAUUAUUUUUUUUAAAAUAAAAAUUUUACUUUUUGUUACUCGAGCGGGAAAUAGCGCGUCUAGGCAAUGGUGGGAGGAGGAGUAACUGCGUCGUUGCUGGAUUGACAAGGCGAAGGAGGUUGUCAUCUUUGGCAUCCAACCGUAGAGCCAUCUCCAUAGCCAAACCGUUGUUGGUAGCAAGAACUCCAAAAUCGAAGAGGUAAGUUAGCUCAGAUGUGUGGAUGUGUGGAUUCCGCCGUCUGCAUCGACUGUUACAUAAAGUGGCAGAGUAUUUUCAAUUAGGGGUGAUAGGAGGAGUCCAUAGGUAGCACCGUGCAUCUGCAGUUGCGCGUUGAUGAAGGCAUGAGAGAUUAUAUUAAUGAGAAUUCCCCUCAACUUUUUCCAACCCUAUAUGGAGUUCAUCAACCCGAUCAAUUCUACCAAUUUGUAAUUAUUAUAUUUUUUGAUAGAUAUUUUAUUAUAACAAUCUAAAGUUAGAAGUGACGACGACCUACCACUAAACAACACAACAUUCUGUCGCUAAUAAAAAAUAAUUAAGAAGAAAAGAUCCCCACUCGUCAAAAACAAACAAGAAAAAAUUUAAAAUUUGUCUUGCUCCGUAUAACUAAUUAGGACAUUUUUAUUUAGACGUGUAUUAUGAAUAUUAGUUUCUUACGUUUUUAUUUAUUCAUUAAUAGUUUUAUUGAUUUCUUGUUAAAAAAAAUUCAUAAUAGUCACAUGAAUAAGUCAAUUUCAUAAAUACAAUUGAUUUAUAAAAUAUUUAAAACUAUAUAAUAAUAUCUAUAUAUUUUAUUUUCAUCAUAUAGAAUCAUGUGUGUUAAACAUGCAUCGCACGUUCCUUCUGCUAGUAAUAUAUAUAAAAUGUGUUUUGGCACAAAAUAUAGAAUGCCUAUUAUAUCCCUAUUACAUAUUUAAUUUUAAGGGUAAAGUGUAAAUUUAUAAUUUUAAAUUUUUAGAGUUUUUUCUUAAUUUCAAAAAUUAUAAUUUAAAUCAACUUAUAAUGUGUAAAAACAAAUCAAAGAUAAUAACUCAAUUAAAUAAAUGUAUGUGUCUAUCAAUUCAUUGUGCAUGAUAUUACUGGAGAUCAUAAUAACGAUCUAUCUAAAGAUUAUUCAACAAUAGGUUCAUAUUUUAACAAGUUACCAAUAUUCAGAAUUGUAUGUUUUAACAAUUAUUAAUUUAUAAUAUUAACAAGACCUAUAUAAUAUUAUUGGAGUAUUAUUUUAUUAAAAUUGUUAAUUUUUUAAAUUAAUUUUAAGUCAGGACCAAAGAAAUUAAUUAAUUUAUCUAAGUAUUAUUUUAGAGUGGUUUUUUUGUUUGUUUUUUUUUUUUUUUUUUGAAGCCUAUUUUAGAGUGGUUUUAGUAUAUUCUAAUAAUGCGUACAAUAAACGCUUCCCAUGCUCGUUGAUCAAAAUAUCUUAAUGCCGGAAAAAUCUCAAGUAGACCAAUUGUUAAUUAAAAAUUUAAAUAUAUAAUAUUAUACUCCCUCCGUCCACGAAAGAACUUUCUAUCUUUCCUUUUUGGGACGUCCACAAAAGAACUUCCUACCUAUUUUUGGACUAUACCCCACCACUUAUAAUCCUCUUACUUUUCACUUUUCACAACUCCCAAUAUUAAUUAUAACACAUUUUCACCACUCCCAAUACACUCAACUAUCUUUUAUCCACUCUCAAUACACUCAACAAUAUUUUUUCUUAAAACCCGUGUCAUUCCCUCCUAUGAAGUUCUUUCAUGGACGGAGAGAGUAUUUAUUUUUUAUUUAUAUUUAUAUUUAUAUUUCUUUAAGCUAGUUUAUCAGAAUAUCUUAAUCUUUCCAUUAUAAUAUUUCAACGAUGCAAGGACUGCUUCGCACCUGUCGGAAACUUGUAUGACAGAGCGUACAACCUCAUCAUCAUUAACUAAUUCAAUCAUCCAUAAUCAUUUUUCAUCAAUGCUCCCGAAAUUCAACAUUGAUCACCAGCAUUAAUAAGUUUAAUUAGCAACAAACAUGUAAUUAAUUAAAUUAAUGACUGGUCAGGUUAAUUAUAUUCUUAUAUCGACGUGCUUCCGUCAACUGCAGCAUAUUUAUUUUUUUUUUUUUUUGAAAUGAAAGUAAAAUUUCACUUCAAAUCGGCGUGUACAAUAUCAAGAAGCCAGGACGGGUAGUCCGACUUCCAGAUCAUUACAGUCGAAGAAGUUAAGGCAAAACUCGCGAGUGCGUGAGCCGCACCAUUCGCUUCUCUACGGGUAUGACAAAACUCGAGGACGACAUGCUUCCUAGCGUGCUCGAAGACUUCCCACAAGUCGUCACAUAACGAAUCUGAGCCCCGAUAGGUGUCGUGGAGAAUAUGAACAGCCAGGAGAGAGUCAGUAAAGAGAAAAUGGCCCCAAUCAUUUUCAAGACAAAAGCCAAUGGCAAGAUAAAGCAUGUAGCUCUCCCAUGAGCACGUGGUUGUGUACCCACAGAUUGGCUACAGCAGCUAAAAUCUCACCUUUUGUUCCGGAUAUGAAGCCAACCCCCACCUCUCCGCUUUCCUGGAAAGCCACAUCCACAUCGACUCUGAGGAUACCCUUGCCGGUGCUUGCCAAGAUUUGGAACCCUCUGGCGGGAGAGCUCGGUUUUGAAUCAAGAGUCGGUGUCGAGCUUCUUUGAAAUUCUGAGCCAUCAGUCUGCUUUCUUCCCAAUCAAGCUUUAUCACCGCCCCAUUGUCAGCAUGCUUAACUUCACAUAAGUGCCUCCAAGCCCUCCAAAGAGCAAUCCAAUUCUCAACCCCUUCACCCCAUUUUGCUCGAAUCAAGAGGCUAAGGUCCUCAAGGGUUAGGAACCUCAGCGAUUUGAUAUCGUUCCAGAACUCAGUUUGUUUCCAAUAACCCGCAUGCUUCACAAAAGAUAAGGCAUGGACGGUCGACCCCAGUCUUUGCGACACCAGGAGCAAAUACCAUUGAAGGGACGUGGUGUCUUUGGAGAUUUCUAUCGGUCGCGAUCAAGUCUUUGUGGGCUCUCCAUGCGAAGUGUCGGAUCUUCGGCGGAAUGUUCAGAGACCAUAUCAUUUUCCACCAUUUCUCGCCAGCGUUUGAAGCAGUUGAUCCGUGCGGGCUAUAGAAGUUGGUUGCGCUCAGGUAGCCAGAUUUAACCGAGUAAUUCCCUUUCUCAUCAAAUUUCCAGAAGGGAGUGUCAGGAGUCGACUGGUUUUCAAUCCUAAUAUCCUUAAUAGCUUCCACCUGGUGAGGUAAGAAAGCCGUUAGCAGCUUAGGCUCAUCACAGUCACCAUUCUCGUCAAUGAAUCCCAUGACUCGAGUAUCAGCAGCCAGUCCCGCACCUUCCCCAUCACCGCACUGCCCCAUACCAGGUACCCAACUAGUCAUGAAGGCUCUAAUACCAGCACCAUUGCCAACUUUCCAUCUGAUUCCUUUCUUGAGAAGAUCGCGACCCCAACAUAAGGAUCGCCAAGUGUAAGAGCUGUUUGAGGUGGUUCUAGCCUCCAAAAUAUCACACGAUCUGUAGUAGCGCUGCUUCAAGACACGUGCUAAGAGAGAGUUUGGAUUUUUGAGGAGACGCCAGGCUUGCUUGGCAAGUAAGGCCUGGUUAAACUCACAAAACUUCCGAAACCCAAGUCCUCCUCUUGACUUUGGCUCACAAACAUUGCUCCAAGAAAGCCAGUGCAUAUGCUUAUCGUUAUCUGAGUCUCCCCACCAAAACCUACUGCAAGCUUUCUCAAUUUCAUUGCAAACUCCCACCGGAAUCCUGAAACAUGCCAUGGUGUACGUCGGUAUAGAUUGGAUAACCGACUUAAGUAAGACCUCCUUACCGCCCGCCGAGAACCACUUAUUGUUCCAGUUGCUGAUCUUCUUACAAGCUCUAUCACGCAGGUAAUCAAAUUGGAGCUUCUUUUGACGCAUGACGAAGGUUGGUAAACCAAGAUACACCGAAUGCCCACUAGUUUCCUUUAUACCCAGAGUGUGAAUAACCGCAUCAAUGUCAGCUUGCAGUGUAUUGGGGCUGAAAGUCACGGAGGAUUUGUCGUAAUUAAUAACCUGCCCCGAUGCGUUUUCAUACUUUGUCAGUGCCUCCUUUAAACCAAGCACGCUUGAUUGGUCCGACCUGAAGAAAACCAAACUAUCGUCUGCAAAAAAGAGAUUAGUAAUGGAAGGGCAAUAGCGAGCAAUAGUAAUCCCGCUAAAUAAACCUUGGUUCUCGUAGCUCCGUAGAAGGGAGGAGAAGCCUUGCGCGCAAAUGACGAAAAGGAACGGCGAGAGUGGGCAGCCCUGCCGAAGACCUCUCGAGGGAGUAAGAGACCCAUAUGCUUUCCGAUUGACAACAAAAGAGAACUCCACUGUAGAGAUGCAUUGCAUAAUAAGAUCGAUGAGGUUGAGAGGAAACCUCAUCGCAACCAUCAUUGCCCGAAGGAACCGCCACUCUACUCUAUCAUACUCCUUGCUCAUGUCUAACUUCUCCGCUGCAAAGCCGUCUUCCCCAUUCUUCUUAUUCCUGAGCCAAUGCAUGCACUCAUAUCCCAGUAAGAUGUUAUCCGAAAUCAGCCUCCCCGGUAUAAAAGCGCUCUGCGAAUCAUCAAUAACAAAGCUCAGGUAGGUCCGCAGCCUGUUCGCCAGCGUCUUUGCAACAAUUUUGUACGUCGUAUUGCAGAGACUAAUUGGCCUGAAAUCUUUAACCUCUUUUGGUUGUUUAAUCUUUGGUAUCCAGUGAGCUAUAUAUAUUUCGNCCUACUCGAGGGAGUAAGAGACCCAUACACUUUCCGAUUGACAACAAAAGAGAACUCCACUGUAGAGAUGCACUGCAUAAUAAGAUCGAUGAGAUUGAGUGGAAACCUCAUCGCAGCCAUCAUUGCCCGGAGAAACCGCCACUCCACUCUAUCAUAGGCCUUGCUCAUGUCUAACUUCGCCGCUGCAAAGCCGUCUUCCCCAUUCUUUUUGUUCCUGAGCCAAUGCAUGCACUCAUAUCCCAGUAAGAUGUUAUCAGAAAUUAGCCGCCCCGGAAUGAAAGCGCUCUGCGCGUCAUCAAUAAUGUAUGUCAGGUAGGCCCGCAACCUGUUCGCCAGCGCCUUUGCAACGAUUUUGUACGUCGUAUUGCAAAGACUAAUUGGCCUGAAAUCUUUGACCUCUUUUGGUUGUUUAAUUUUUGGUAUCAGCACGAUCAGGGUCUUAUUCCAUGCUCUAAUGCUAGCAUUGCCGUUGAGAAUGUCAAGCGCCUCUUUUGUCACGCACCCUCCAAUUUCGCCCCAAAACUUUUGAAAGAAGAAAGGAGGGUAACCGUCAGGCCCCGGUGCCUUGUGUGGAUUCAUUUGGAAGAUGGCCUUUCAAUCUUUUUUGUAAAGGGAUUGAGACUUCCUGGCAGAUCCCCGAAGAAGCUCGCCCGAAUCCGCGACAGAGGCAAUGUCAGUUGGUGUCGGGGAGGAGGUUCGAAAUAAAUCAGCAAAGUAAGCUUGGAUGACCACGGCCAAAUCCUCAUCUCUUUUGACCUCUCCCCCAUCACUAGUUCGGAGUGAGGAUAUAGUGUUCUUCUCCUUGCGUUUACUGGCAAAAGCAUGGAAGUAUUUGGUGUUGCGAUCGCCUAAACCCAGCCAGUUGGCCCGUGAGCGCUGUUUCCAGUGAAUCUCCUCCGCCUCUGUUAGUUUCUCAAUCGCGUUAUUAAUAACUUUGAGUUUAGCGUCGAAGUCCUCGAGCCCUCUGUUGUUGAGUAGAGUAGCCCUUUCCUUUCUCAAGUCGUUGAGUUCACGUGUGGGAGCCUCGAACUUGCCUUUCGACCAAUGUUCAAGGAAGCCUUGACACCUACUAAGUCUCUCCUGCAUAGGCAGUCCCCCUCGAAAGUGCCAUUCCAUAAGAAAGUCCGCAGAAAAGGUGUUGUCCAAGAGCCACUUCUGCUCGAAAUGAAAGCGCUUCUGACCCGCCCCUGGUUCCCUGUGCAUAUCACGACUUUCCACGCGUAGCAGCAACGGCCUGUGGUCUGAGCCAAAAGGAUCUAAAGCACGAACCAGUUCCUCUUUGAAGGUAUCCCGGGCGGCUCUGUUGCAUAAGAAUCUGUCAAGGCGUAGAAAGAUCGCGUCUUUGUUCUUCCUCUGAUUGUACCAUGUGAAUUCGGAGUCGCAAUUCAUGGAUUUCAGACCACAGUACUGGAUAGCAAGAUCAAACUCCCGCAUCUGAGACCAUGGCCUUCGAGCUCCACCAUUGCGUUCGGACUGACUAAUGAUCUCGUUGAAAUCCCCGCCCAUAAGCCAAGGGAGCUGUUCACAAUCCGAGCAGGCGAGUUUCCUCAUUAGCUCCCAUGAAUGGACUCGUUUUGACACCAUGGGAUUUCCAUAGAAGCCCGUGAAUCUCCAUUUAAUAUCCUGCGACAACACCACACAAUCAAUAUGACCCUCAGAGUAAUUUUUAACAGUAACCGAACAUGUAUUAUUCCAAAAUAACAUGAACCCUCCGCUGGCUCCUCUAGAGUUGACCACGAAAUGACCAUCAAAGUUAAGUUGGGUACGCCACCAUCGACACUUGUCAGCCGUAACUUUUGUUUCACAAAUAAACAGUAUCGCCGGGGAGAAGCCGGUUACCAACCGGCGGAGUUCAUGGAAUGCACGAGGGCUCCCCAGCCCCCGUGCAUUCCAAACGAUGCAAUUCAUUGCUCUCGGCGGGACUGCACCGCAGUCGCCGCCGAUUUCUCAUCAUCAUUUCCUUCAGCAACAAACUUCAUCACUUUACUUCGCGGUUGGCCAUCCUCAGUGUCAGGGUCAGUUCCUCCACCGCGUUUCCGUCCCAUCCAAAUUCCACCAUUCUGGUUAUUGCCCGUCUCCUUUAGCCUGGGGGUAGGCUUUCUAGCAAGUCGUUUCCAGCCCUUGCUUGUUGAGUUAUGUUUGGCCUUUGCGGGGGAGAUUGGCUUCAUCAAAGAGAGUGAGAGGUUCUGAGUACGUGGGGUGGAGGUCAGGUCCGCUUGGUUCUCGACGUCCGAUUCACAUAUCAUCUCGCCUUCCCCUCCCAUCGCUGGUGCAAGGUUAGUGCAGUUUCCUUGACCAACCUCUCUAGUCUGCUCCUGUUCCAUUAGCUCAAUAUGGUCUGUAUCAGAGGUAUCCACUUCCUUCUCAGUUAUGAUGAUGGCCUGUUCCCUGGUUGUAACCACCUUAUCCCGAGGGGGGGUCUGGGUCCGUUAGCAUUGGCCCUCGCGACCAGUAGGGUGUUUCCAGCCUGGGAUCGAGCUUGUGGGUUGGGUUUCGCCUGUUUCCUGUAGUCAACACCACGGCCUGCUCGCAGCCACAGACCAAAUUUUGCUUCUUUCUUCUCCUCUUCUCCAAGUGAGCAAGAUUUAAGGUAGUGGCCAAGCUUUCCACAAGCGUAGCAAAAGUGGUCAGGCAGACGUUCAUAAAGGACUAGUAUUAAGUUUUCUUCUUCACCUUCCACGACGAGGGGUACACAUCGUGUUAAUGGCUCAUGGACAGAUCUAGAAAUUUUCACCCGCGCAUAUCUUCCCAGACACAUCCCUCCUACUCCACAAUCCACUUCGAUCACGCGACCAAUCUGUUCUCCAAUUCUCCUAACCACACUUGCCUCCAUACACGUAAUAGGCAUAUUGUGUAGUUGUACCCAUAGAGUGAUUUUGUCAAAUUCUGCAUUGGCAGCUGUGCUUUUGGUAUCCGUUUCUUGAAGAAUCAUCAGCUCAUUGAAAUAAUGCCAUGGACCCUCUGUAAGAAUGCGUUCCCUAUCUGAUUCCAGAUCGAAUGUUGCAGCAAAGAUAUUUCGACCCACCAGUUCGAUCUCCAUGGUGCCUCUGGGUCGAAAAACAGAGGGGAGGUUUUCUCGCAGGGCUUCUCUAUUCACUAACCUUUCUGAGAAGAUUUUGCCCAAAAUGAUUUUUCUUGCCCUCGAUUUACCGUCUGCUGCGUCGGAAGCAGUGAGUGUGACCCGCUUGUUCUUCGCUUCAGACGAGAGUUUUAACUCAGCGACCCUCUUCACAAUUUCCUCUGGAUCCAUACUUUGGGGUGAUUGGUAUGCAAAAAGGGCAAAGAUCGAACAAGCCUUCACUUCCAGCAAUGAAAGAAAAACAAUCUCCUCAAAGAGAAAGACUUCACUCCUAAAACCCCCUGGCGGCUAGGGUUUCAGAGGACAAAAAAUCAACUGCAGCAUAUUUAAAUGAACUUCAUUUUUCUGAUAAAAAGAAUUUCAUUAUCAUGUGUAGAUGCAAUUAAUUUUUUCCAGUUGACUUAACCUCUAUAAUUAUAAACAAACCACGUUAGGUGCAUAAAAAAGUUUGAAUCUAACAACUGCAGCUUAUUUUAUUGAUUUCAAUAAUGUUGCANCCAAACAAUUUAAUUAAAAUAGGUCCAAAUCCUUUAAUUAAAAGAAGCCCAUCAGAUUUUAUUUGUAAAGGGCCGAGCCCAAACAUUUAAAUCGAAGCCCAUCUGUUAAUUAAAUAAGGGCCCAAACACUUAUUAAAAUCGGCCCAAGUCUCGGCCCAAACAAUUAAUAAAAUCGGCCCAAGAGGGAGCCCAAUAUUUUCGGCCCAAACCCGGCUCAAACCCGGCCCAAACCCGGCUGAAACCCGGCCUAAAUAUACCCACACCAUAUAUACACACUCAUAACACACUCACACGCACAUCUCACUGCUCUCUCUCUCUCUAUCUCUCUCUCUCGCUCUCUCUCUCUCCCUCUCUCUCUCUGCUCUCUCUCUUUACUCUCUCUCUCUCUCUCUUCGUUCGGCUGAGGGCGGCGCCGCCUCCGGCGCGCCGCCUCGCCGUCGCCUCCGCUCUCUCUCUCACGACUGCCGGAACAAGGUACAGCAGACGCACGCCGCUGUCAAAGCGGUGCGCCGCCGCCGCUGCCUCCGUCGUCCUUGCAGCAGAUCCGCUGCCGCGUCAAGACCACGACCACCGCUUGGGUCGACGGGAGCCGCUGGAGCUGCUGCUGCUUCACCGGGAGUCGAGCUGUCGCCGCCUGGAGCUGCUGCUGUUCGCCGCGUGGCGCCGCUGUCGCCGCCUGGAGCUGCUGCUGUUCGCCCGGAGUCGCCGCUGGCUGGCCUGCGAUCGACGGCCAGCAGCUCGCUGGAGGAGCGCCGCCGUCAGCCGCUGCCGUUGGCAGCAAGAAUCCGGCAGCCGCCUCUCCUGGAGUCGCCGUCGCCGUGAGUCGCAGAGCUCCGACAAUCCACCAUCCUUUCUCUCUCGUUUUAUCACUCACGAUAGGUUCGUAAAUUUGAAUAAUUUUCAGAAAACUCAACUGUAAAGACUUGAUUUUGAAAUGAAAACUUGGUUUUCUGUAUUCCUAGUGAGAUACAAAUUCUAAUUCUGAUUUCUUGUGAAAGCUUUGAUGCGUAUACAAAUUCUGUAAACUGUAAACAAAAUCAUAUGUGAUCUCAUUCAUGUUGAAUUUCUGGAUAAUGCUAUGUAUGAAAAGGAAGAAAGUUGCGUGUAAUACCUUCACCGAAUCUUGUCAAAAGAAAACUCUGCGUUUAAGAAUUUGCUUGUUUUAGAGCUGAAGUGUUUGGAUGAAUUUAUAGAUGGGUCUCUGCGACAAUGAAAUCUAUGACUAUGGAAUUUUUGUGAGUGAAAAUCGGCUGCGCCUGAACAAAUAAGAUUUGCUGCGGCUGUAUCUGUAUCUUUGAAAAAAUGAGAUUUGCUGUUGAAGACUGAGAUUUUGGUUGAAGAAUUAAUGAGAUUAAAUUUGCUGUUUGACAAAUUAGAUUUGUCUGUUGAAUACUUGAGAUUUUGCUUGCAGCAAUUUUGUUGACUACGUAAGAGUGAAAUAAAAACUAAGCACGGGUGAGAAUAGAGUGGCUGAGGGAGCAUGGCGUGCUAGAUUUAAUACACGGAAUAAUAUCUAAAUUAAUAUCGUAGAUUUAAUUCUUCACAAGCCGGAAUAAAUUCACGACUCAAGAAAUAAAAAAAAAUAGAAAAUUACUUCUAUUGUGAUUAAUAAUUAACAUGACUUUACUAAGUCAGUUAUGAAUCUGAAAUAAAUAAUUAUUGGCUUACUCAAUAAUUCUCAUCGCGGUUUUAUUUACGCGAAGCUACUGACUUGUAAUAAAAUAAUAAUCCUGCUUAAUUGAAUAUAAUCCAGUGUCAUAAGCUGAAUUUAAAUCAUAAAUAAUUACUGGGUUUGAUUUACUGAAAGAUGAAAUAAUAAUUAUCGUAUUACUGGAUUUAAAUAUAAUAAAAGAGCGGGUUGUUACAUUCUUAUCACUUUGAAUAGAUGUUGGUGAAACUUUCAGUAUUCUUUUCCAUGAGUAGUGAAUUUUUGACUUUUUUAUUGCAAUGGAGAAAUUGUAUAACUAAUAUAAGAAUAAUGAUUGAUCUAACAAUAUUUAUGUUGGUUUUGUAAUGUUAGAUAAUGAUGAUACAACUGAGAAUUUUGAUGAUGCACAUUUGGAUAUGCCUCUAUCAGGUAAUAGUUAGACAUGAUAGAUAGUAUUUUAAAUCUUCUAGAAUUUAUUAAUCGAGCAAAUGAUGAAAUAUUAUUGUGUCAUUGUUAGAAAUUUUAAAAAUACAAAAGAAAGCUAAAAACAUUAGCAUGAGGUCAUAAGGUCAGGUAAACAUGAAGAUCAAAGAUCCUCAAGCAUGCACAUCUAAACAUUCUAAUUUUAAAUUGAUAUUGCUUAUGUUAAUCUAUUCAUGUUUUGAACUACCAUUUGUUACUAUUGUGUAAUUACCAUGAAAUCUAAACCAAUAGACAUGUGUACCGGUUACUUGCUUAGCUCCAACUACUUAUAAAACGUAUACAAAUAUAAUUAAGCAACUUUAUUUUUAGAUGAAUUUGUGGAGCAACUGAUAGCAAACUUGUUUAAGAUUCUCAUAUGGAGUCAUGUCUACCUUUUACAGGUAAAUUAUUCAACCAAUUAGAUAAAUUUUCGUUUCUAAUAUUCUUCGUUGUUAACAAUAUUAACUCAAUCAUUUAGGCACACUAUACCGGGAGAAACAGGACCUUGUGGCAAAAACAUCAAAGAAGACUAAAAUAACUCAAGCUAAGGACAAACAUGUAGCUAAGGGUACAAAACUGAAAAACUAUUGUCAUUAUAUAGACACUUAAUCUUUGAAGUGUGUUCUUGUAUGAUUGAUGGGAGUUUCUGUGCAACAUUAUCAGCAAAGAAGGCGAAAGAAAUGAAGUCUAAAUAUCUUAAAAGACAAGAUACAAAGCAUAUCUGAUUCAUCCCACCAACUUACUGAAGUGGUUGUCGAGCAUAAUAAAGGUUGUAUUCUACAUGAGGCAACGGUAAUAGUUCUAAAUCAAAUCAUCAAUGAUAUAGGAUAUUAUGCAAAUACAUUAUGUUUGUCAUUAACUAAUUUUAUUAAUAUUAUCAUCAACUUUUAGGCAAAGGAGUCUCAGUGGCAGAACAAUCAAGCGAAGAAUAUUGGACUAAUGAAGUGAAAGAUUUUAUGAGACUUUGAAGUAACUUCUGUAUGUACUUUGACUUUUGCCUCUAUUACACCGUGUCGGUCACAUUCUACUAUAUUUUGAGGUUACCUUUUGCAUGUACAUUGUAUAUGCCUUGAUGUAGUUUUUGGCUUAAUGCGAUAUGUAUAUAUAACGCGUAAUGUCUAAAAGGAUAGUUAAAUAGUUUAUAUAUAAAUUGUAUUGUGUAGAUUGUUGCUCCUAGCUGUACAAAUUAAAUACUCUUUGUUGUAUUACAACUGUGACCUACAAGUCGUAGUAUAAUAUGUCUACACUUAAAAAUGAUUUGACUAGCUCCGUUAUUGGUCACAUAAUUCACGGAGCAAUUAUGAAACACCGCGUCCUACGCGGUGCAGAAUUCUAGUUAUUUCANNNNNNNNNNNNNNNNNNNNNNNNNNNNNNNNNNNNNNNNNNNNNNNNNNNNNNNNNNNNNNNNNNNNNNNNNNNNNNNNNNNNNNNNNNNNNNNNNNNNNNNNNNNNNNNNNNNNNNNNNNNNNNNNNNNNNNNNNNNNNNNNNNNNNNNNNNNNNNNNNNNNNNNNNNNNNNNNNNNNNNNNNNNNNNNNNNNNNNNNNNNNNNNNNNNNNNNNNNNNNNNNNNNNNNNNNNNNNNNNNNNNNNNNNNNNNNNNNNNNNNNNNNNNNNNNNNNNNNNNNNNNNNNNNNNNNNNNNNNNNNNNNNNNNNNNNNNNNNNNNNNNNNNNNNNNNNNNNNNNNNNNNNNNNNNNNNNNNNNNNNNNNNNNNNNNNNNNNNNNNNNNNNNNNNNNNNNNNNNNNNNNNNNNNNNNNNNNNNNNNNNNNNNNNNNNNNNNNNNNNNNNNNNNNNNNNNNNNNNNNNNNNNNNNNNNNNNNNNNNNNNNNNNNNNNNNNNNNNNNNNNNNNNNNNNNNNNNNNNNNNNNNNNNNNNNNNNNNNNNNNNNNNNNNNNNNNNNNNNNNNNNNNNNNNNNNNNNNNNNNNNNNNNNNNNNNNNNNNNNNNNNNNNNNNNNNNNNNNNNNNNNNNNNNNNNNNNNNNNNNNNNNNNNNNNNNNNNNNNNNNNNNNNNNNNNNNNNNNNNNNNNNNNNNNNNNNNNNNNNNNNNNNNNNNNNNNNNNNNNNNNNNNNNNNNNNNNNNNNNNNNNNNNNNNNNNNNNNNNNNNNNNNNNNNNNNNNNNNNNNNNNNNNNNNNNNNNNNNNNNNNNNNNNNNNNNNNNNNNNNNNNNNNNNNNNNNNNNNNNNNNNNNNNNNNNNNNNNNNNNNNNNNNNNNNNNNNNNNNNNNNNNNNNNNNNNNNNNNNNNNNNNNNNNNNNNNNNNNNNNNNNNNNNNNNNNNNNNNNNNNNNNNNNNNNNNNNNNNNNNNNNNNNNNNNNNNNNNNNNNNNNNNNNNNNNNNNNNNNNNNNNNNNNNNNNNNNNNNNNNNNNNNUUUCAUAAGCUUUAAUGAGAGAAUCUUCACCUCUUUAAUGAAUUUCAAUCUUAUACUUCCUCCGUCCCAUCAUAAGUGAAGAUUAUUUUUUUUUUAAAUAAAAUUUUACUUUUUGUUACUCGAAGCGGGAAAUAGCGCGUCUAGGCAAUAGGUGGGAGGAGGAGUAACUGCUUCGUUGCUGGAUUGACAAGGCGAAGGAGGUUGUCAUCUUUGGCAUCCAACCGUAGAGCCAUCUCCAGAGCCAAACCGUUGUUGGUAGCAAGAACUCCAAAAUCGAAGAGGUAAGUUAGCUCAGAUGUGUGGAUGUGUGGAUUCCGCCGUCUGCAUCGACUGUUACAUAAAGUGGCAGAGUAUUUUCAAUUAGGGGUGAUAGGAGGAGUCCAUAGGUAGCACCGUGCAUCUGCAGUUGCGCGUUGAUGAAGGCAUGUGAGAUUAUAUUAAUGAGAAUUCCCCUCAACUUUUUCCAACCCUAUAUGGAGUUCAUCAACCCGAUCAAUUCUACCAAUUUGUAAUUAUUAUAUUUUUUGAUAGAUAUUUUAUUAUAACAAUCUAAAGUUAGAAGUGACGACGACCUACCACUAAACAACACAACAUUCUGUCGCUAAUAAAAAAUAAUUAAGAAGAAAAGAUCCCCACUGGUCAAAAACAAACAAGAAAAAUUUAAAAUUUGUCUUGCUCCGUAUAACUUAGGACAUUUUUAUUUAGACGUGUAUUAUGAAUAUUAGUUUCUUACGUUUUUAUUUAUUCAUUAAUAGUUUUAUUGAUUUCUUGUUAAAAAAAAUUCAUAAUAGUCACAUGAAUAAGUCAAUUUCAUAAUACAAUUGAUUUAUAAAAUAUUUAAAACUAUAUAAUAAUAUCUAUAUAUUUUAUUUUCAUCAUAUAGAAUCAUGUGUGUUAAACAUGCAUCGCACGUUCCUUCUACUAGUAAUAUAUAUAAAAUGUGUUUUGGCACAAAAUAUAGAAUGCCUAUUAUAUCCCUAUUACAUAUUUAAUUUUAAGGGUAAAGUGUAAAUUUAUAAUUUUAAAUUUUUAGAGUUUUUCUUAAUUUCAAAAUUAUAAUUUAAAUCAAGUUAUAAUGUGUAAAAACAAAUCAAAGAUAAUAACUCAAUUAACUAAAUGUAUGUGUCUAUCAAUUCAUUGUGGAUGAUAUUACUGGAGAUCAUAAUAACGAUCUAUCUAAAGAUUAUUCAACAAUAGGUUCAUAUUUUAACAAGUUACUAAUAUUCAGAAUUGUAUGUUUUACUAAUUAUUAAUUUAUAAUAUUAACAAGACUAUAUAAUAUUAUUGGAGUAUUAUUUUAUUAAAAUUGUUAAUUUUUUAAAUUAAUUUUAAGUCAGGACCAAAGAAUUAAUUAAUUUAUCUAGUAUUAUUUUAGUUGGUUUUUGUUUGUUUUUUUUUUUUUUUUUUGUAAGCCUAUUUUAGAGUGGUUUAGUAUAUUCUAAUAAUGCGUACAAUAUACGCUCCCAUGCUCGUUGAUCAAAAUAUCUUAAUGCCGGAAAAAUCUCAAGUAGACUAAUUAUAAUAUUAUACUCCCUCCGUCCACGAAAGAACUUUCUAUCUUUCCUUUUUGGGACGUCCACAAAGAACUUCCUACCUAUUUUUGGACUAUACCCCACCACUUAUAAUCCUCUUACUUUCACUUUUCACAACUCCCAAUAUUAAUUAUAACACAUUUUCACCACUCCCAAUACACUCAACUAUCUUUUAUCCACUCUCAAUACACUCAACAAUAUUUUUUCUUAAAACCCGUGUCAUUCCCUCCUAUGAAGUUCUUUCAUGGACGGAGAGAGUAUUUAUUUUUUAUUUAUAUUUAUAUUUAUAUUUCUUUAAGCUAGUUUAUCAGAAUAUCUUAAUCUUUCCAUUAUAAUAUUUCAACGAUGCAAGGACUGCUUCGCACCUGUCGGAAACUUGUAUGACAGAGCGUACAACCUCAUCAUCAUUAACUAAUUCAAUCAUCCAUAAUCAUUUUUCAUCAAUGCUCCCGAAAUUCAACAUUGAUCACCAGCAUUAAUAAGUUUAAUUAGCAACAAACAUGUAAUUAAUUAAAUUAAUGACUGGUCAGGUUAAUUAUAUUCUUAUAUCGACGUGCUUCCGUCAACUGCAGCAUAUUUAAAUGAACUUCAUUUUUCUGAUAAAAAGAAUUUCAUUAUCAUGUGUAGAUGCAAUUAAUUUUUUCCAGUUGACUUAACCUCUAUAAUUAUAAACAAACCACGUUAGGUGCAUAAAAAGUUUGAAUCUAACAACUGCAGCUUAUUUUAUUGAUUUCAAUAAUGUUGCACAUGACUUACUUCUCAUUUAUCUGCUAUAAAAGUUUCAAAUCUCAAUUGUGGAAUCAUAAUACCAGAUUGGUUGCCUUCUUUCACCUCUCAAAUAUUACCUCAUAUAUUUUCAUUCACACUUCCCAUAAAUAUAUACAUUAUACAAAGAUUUAAUCAUGGCGGCUUAUGGAGCUCUGGUUUCUCUUAUGCAUAUCAUAGAUCGGAUUGAAAAUCAUCCUUCGCCUCCAAUUUCUAUCGACAGACAACAAGUUGAAUCUCUCACUGAAAAUGUUACCUUCUUGCAGGAUUUUCUUGAUGGUUAUAUUUCCCCAGUUGUGGAUGACCAUGAGGCGGAUCCAUUGGAGCGUCGCAUUGCUGAUGCAGUUUUUGCAGCUGAGGAUGUCAUCGAAUCCCAAAUUGUGCUUCAAAUUGAUAACCAAUCCACAAUUAUUGGGAAGAUUCAUUUACACUAGAUCGAAUAUUUCUAUCACGAUCUACAACAAGUGAUAGAAGAAAUGAUUUGAUCAAGAGGAAGCCAUGGAGAGCAACCGCAGCUGAUCAACUGCAGAGAAAGGUUCCUCAACUCAUGUGCUCCUCUUCCACUGUGAAGGAAAGCAUAUGGUGGGUUGACGAGGUGUUAUUAAGUGCUGGAUAGCUCACCGAGCAACACAGUCGCCAAAUCAUCCCAAUUAUGGGGAUGGGCGGCAUUGGUAAGACCACUCUUGCCCGACAUGUAUUUCAGCAUGCGUUGUUAAAACAUUUUAUAUUUGUGCUUGGAUACAAUUUCUCAAACUUAUAAUGUAGAGAAACACUUAGAAAGUUCUUUUCUCAAGCAAGUGGAAUUCGGUGUGAUUGAGUGAGGGAAUUGGGAUUAAACUAACCAGUAUUUAUGGAGAGGUAUCUCAUAAUUUGGACGAUAUGUGGAGUAUAGAGGUGUGGGAUAAGAUCAAGUUUUUCUUUCCUUGUUACAAUGAUGGGAGUCGAAUAAUUAUAACAACUAGGCUGUCAAACUUGACUUCGCAGCUGGGUCAGUCUUAUGGCGUUGGUAUGAAAUUUCUAGAUGAGGCUAGUAGUUGGGAUUUGUUCAGUAAGACUGUGUUUGGGGGAGAAAGUUUUCCUCCUGAGUUGGAGGAUAUUGGAAAGAAAAUUGUAGCAAAUUGUAAAGGGCUUCCUUUAUCAAUUGCUACAAUUGGAGGUCUUUUGGCAAAAUUUGAGCGGACUAGAGAAUAUUGGGUGCAUAUAGAGCAAAAUCUAAAUUCAAUUGUGAUUAGGAAUAAUGAUGAAUUUUGCUUGAAAAUAUUGCGACUGAGCUAUACCUAUCUGCCCAACUAUUUGAAGCCAUGCUUUUUGUAUAUGGGUGUUUUUGAGGAAGAUCGUUCAAUUCGUGUCUCAAUGCUGAAGAAGCUAUGGGUUUCAGAAGGAUUUUUAAAAUCCGUGAGUGGAAAAUGCUUGGAAACAACAGCAGAAGAGUACUUGAAGGAGUUGGUAGAUAGAAAUCUAAUUUUAGUUGAUAAGUUGGGGGUUAGUGGAAAUGUAAAGUUUUGUAAGAUUCAUGAUUUGUUGAGGGACUUAUGCUUGAAAGAAGUUGAAAAGGAGAGGUUUUAUCAUAUCAUAAAAAAGUCUCCUUCAGUCAUAGAUAACGAACCUCGUCGGUUUGUUUUUCAAAAUGUUGGAAGUAGGGUGGCAAGUGAGGUCUUGGGAUCUUUCUCACAUGCUCGUUCUAUAAUACGUGAUGACAAGGCGAAACACUUUGAAAGGCCUCACAAUCUGAGAUUGUUGAGAACAUUCAAAGCAUAUGAUAGAGAUACUUCAGAUCCAAUUGCACGUGAUCUUCAUUUCCUAGACGAUGUUUUUCAAUUGGUGAACUCACGGCACCUUGCUGUUAGAGUUCAUAGGAACUCCAAAUUCCCAUCUUCGAUCAAUUUGCUUUGGAAUCUAUAUACGUUAAUAGUUGAUAUUCAGCAUAUCUAUUGCACCGUUGAGAUUUGGAAAUUGCAUCAACUUAGGCAUCUCGAGUUUGGAAAGAUUGAUUCUCCCAGCUCCUCCGAGUGAGAUGGUUAUCAUGGAGAAUCUACAAACGCUCAAAGGAGUAAUGAAUUUGUAUUUGAGUGAGGAUGUGGUUAAAAGAAUCCCCAAUGUGAAGAAACUGCAUCUAAUUUACGAUGCCAAAGAAAUGGAGAGAGCAAAGUACUGUUUGAACUAUCUUGAGUGUCUGAGUAAAUUGGAAAACUUGUGUUGCGACACCUUUAUGGGAUAUGAUGAGUAUUUGCAGAGGAUUAGUUUCCCACUCUCCCUCAAGAAGUUGAAGUUAUGUCUCUCUUCCUCUGGUUAUUAUAAUCUGGAGUUGGAAGAGAUAUUGGAAAAGAUAGGGUGGUUGCCCCUUCUUCACAAGUUAGUAUUAGAUGGUGGUACCUUCAAAACAGGCAAGUGGGAGACUAUUGAGGGCCAAUUCCGGAGCCUCAAGCUACUACAGUUGGAGUAUUGUAAAGGUCUAACAAAUUGGACAAUGGCAGAGAGCUCCCACUUUCCAGUUCUCCAGGAGCUUCAUCUUCAAGGUUUGACUAAAUUGGAGGAGAUUCCUUCAGAAGUUGGAGAGAUAGCAACGCUGAAAUCAAUUCGUUUGAUGUAUUGCAGUGAUUCAGCGGUAGUGUCAGCUAAAAAGAUAGUAGAAGAACAAGAGGAUUUGCAAGGAGACCAACUAGAGCUUCAUGUUCGAGUUCAUCUUUGGGACAGAAACGGAACACUGCAGAGCUUGGCAAGUCCCAACUUUGAAGUUACAGUGAGAAGUACCUUUUAGAAUCAUCCAAGAUUGUUAGUUACAAGUUCAGACCUUUUGUUUCGUAAGCUUAUCAAACUUUGAGCUUUUGUUGCUUCAUUGGUAAACGUAAAUGCUUUUAUCAAAUGAUGUUUUCUAAUUCCUGUUUCUUUUAUAUUCCCUCCGUCCAUGAUUCAGUGCCCCAUCUAGGUGUGGGCACGGAGACUAAGAAAGCUGAAAAAGGUGUUGUGAUGAAAUAUAAGGGUAGUUGACUAAAGUGAUAAAGUGAUAAAGUGUACUAAAUAUAGAAUAUAAAAGUGAAAAAGGUGUUUGAAGGUGGGUCCAUUAGUGGCAAAGGGUAGUAAAUAUAGAAAAAGUAGGAGAGUAAAAGGGUACAAAAAGCAAAACAGGGCAUUCAAUUGUGGACACUUUUUAAAGGCCAAACAGGGCACUGAAUCAUGGACGGAGGGAGUAUAAAACUAGAAUGGGCGUAACUAUAGUCUAUAAUACUAUAAUAAAGAAAGUUGCUGUUUGAUAACAUUAAUUUUUGUUUUUUGUCGGAAUACCUUUAUUUGUUUAACAAAUACUAAUUUUUAGGGUAAAUAUCACUUUAAACCCCAAACUAUUUUCGCACUAUCAAUUAUAUCCUGAACUAUCAAAAAUAAUUUUUUAAACCUUGAACUAUUAAUUUUGUAUCAAUUGUACCAUUCGUUCAUUUUUUUAGUUUCAAAAUUUUGACGUGGCUCACCGGAUACCACAAUGCAUUUAGAAUCAUUCUUUUUUUUACCUAUAUUAUAUAGAACGACGUGAUUAUAUGCAUUACUCAUUAAAAAUUAAAAGGAUGAAAAAUAGAUAGAGGGUACAAUUGAUACAAAAUUGAUAGUUCAAGGUUUACAAAAUUAUUUUCAAUAGUUCAGGAUAUAAUUGAUAGUGCGAAAAUAGUUUGGGAUUUAAAGUGAUAUUGUCACGACCGGUCUUAACUAAGGAUAGGUAAGCCGGGAAACCGUGACUAGGGAAGGGAAAUUAGGAGAGGGGACAGAAAAGGGGUGAUAAAUAAUAAUAAAGGAAUUGAACUAAGAUUGAGACAUCAUAUGAGAAAAAAAACACACAUAAAUAGAUAAGAGCGAGUAAUCGGUCAAGAGUAUCCGAUUUAAGUGUUUAUACAAUAACUUGAUUUGACAAUCCAACAUAAUAGGAUAAUAUGCAUCAUAACUGAGUGUUCGCAGCGGAAAUAGAACGUGAUACAUGUAUGAAGACAUGUAUCGCCAAGAGUUUAUUUAGUAAAUAUGACAAAGCUCCGCACGACACCCCCAUCAUCACUCAUCACUGCUCAACCUGCACAUUUAGAAAUACAUGCAGGGCUGAGUACAAAGUACUCAGUAGACAUAUGCCGAAAAUCAUAUACAUACAUAAUAAAUGUAAAUUGUCAUGCCAUUUCAAUAGUAUAACCAAGGGUUUUUACUUAAAAAGGCCCUAAGCAUACUAAAUUCAUUUGUGAUUCUAAAGUUCGUCUGAUCAGACUAAGUUCUUUUGUAAUCUAUCAUAUCUGAAUCUGUGUGCCGGAGAGGUGGCCACCUCUCACGGUCACUUGACCGGCCAACCCGCUAGAUGACUCACGGUCACUGGUGUACACUAGCCAAGGCAGGAUAGCUAUCAACUGCUCAAGACCCGAAUUCGAUUACAUGAUAACUGGCAAAGCCAUAUCAGAUAGAUAUCAUACUGAAAUUAAAACAUUUUAUGGCAAGACAAUACUUGAAUUAACUUCAAUUCAAAGAUUUUGUCAUGAAAUAACUUGCUUGAACGUAACAGUUAAAUUCAUUUGAUAUAUAUGAAAGUAAUGCCUACCUGAUUGCAGUGUUUUGCUACUUAAGACAAUGAUUCUCUUUCCUUAGCGCGAUAGGUUACUCAGGCGCUUUUGUUUAUUUGAACCUUUGAUAACACGAAACAUGUGUUCGAGUGAAUAAUAGAAAAGAUAACAACAAAUGCAGUGAAUCACUAUUCACUCAUUUCUCUAACUACCCAUAUUUCCUUAAACGACUGUAUCUAACUCAUAUACAAUCGUUCUUCUUUUUAUCGAAAUACUUCAUGUACCUUUGAGGAUGUAGGAAAGCCCAUUUUAUAUUAUUCCUUUAUUUAUCCAUUAUAAAUAAAGAAUAAUUUAUAAAAUAUUUUCCUUUUCCCCAUUUAAUAAUGCCAAUCAAUAUAUAUAUAUAUUGCUACUAUUAAAAGAACUAAUAAGUCAUUAAUAAAUUACUAAACAUUAAUUCCUGAUGAAAAUUUCAUUGUGAGAUUUUAGGAACAUUUGUAAAAAUAUUUUAAAAUAAUAAAAGGAGUUAACUAUAAAAAGAAAUUUUCGAGAAGAUCUAAUAAUUUUAAUAUUUUAACCAUUUAAUUAAUAAAUCUUUAAUAUUUCAUUUAUCAACUAUUCCAUCUAAUAUAAUUUUACCAACAAGUUCUCAUGAAAUCUUUCUCAGAAUAUUUAUAUAUCUCAAUAGCUCAUUUAUAAACUAAAAGUGAUAUUUUAUCAACAAUAAAACUUUAAAAUCCUUAAUAAGAAUUAUUUUGAAUCAUUUCCAUCUCAACAAAAACUGUAUAUAUUCAACUUCAACUAAUAAACUGCUUUUACUCCGAACUCGUAUGGAGUCUAAUUUUAUAUCAAUAGAAACCUCUUUGAGUCUAGUUUAUUAAAAAAAAAGUAUGUUGAAAAACUCCAAGUAGUUUAAGAGAUAUAGCGAUUUUUCCCAUCGCCUACCAGAUUCGGCAGUUUCUGCCAACUGAAAGUCCAGAUUUUUGAAAAAUAGCAAACGUUACCUGAAUGAGCUCAAAUUUUAUAUGUAGAUAGCUAACACAUAUAUCUUCAUAGAAUAAAAAUUUGAGAGCUAAAUAUCAACAUAUGGUUACUGAAAUAAUUAACUUAAUCAUCUGCCUCACGACAGUUUUAGCAGAUACGGGCAGUAGACUUCUCGAAUUUUAAAAGGGUAGUAAACGAAGUUCAAAUGAUAUGAAACUUUGUACGAAUAUUUACCACACUCCCAUCUAUACCCCAGAAAUUUCUCAUAAUAUAAUAGAAACGGGAAUGCAUCGAAAUAGGGCGUCAACUUACCCUUGUCCAAGUGAGCACUAAUGGAAGUUGUUCGCCGGGGUUUUUUUNAUAUCCUGAACUAUCAAAAAUAAUUUUUUAAACCUUGUAACUAUUAAUUUUGUAUCAAUUGUACCAUUCGUUCAUUUUUUAGUUUCAAAAUUUUGACGUGGCUCACCGGAUACCACAAUGCAUUUAGAAUCAUUCUUUUUUUUACCUAUAUUAUAUAGAACGACGUGAUUAUAUGCAUUACUCAUUAAAAAUUAAAAGGAUGAAAAAUAGAUAGAGGGUACAAUUGAUACAAAAUUGAUAGUUCAAGGUUUACAAAAUUAUUUUCAAUAGUUCAGGAUAUAAUUGAUAGUGCGAAAAUAGUUUGGGAUUUAAAGUGAUAUUUACCUUACUUAAAAGAGUGUGUUUGCUUUGAGGCAUAAGGAAGGGAUAAGCUACAUUUACCACCUUAUACCUCGUUUGUUAUGAAAAAAUUUGUGCAGGUUGUAUAAUUUUUCAGAAAGAGAUAAUUUUAUACCUUUCUAAGUGGUAUAAUUUUAUACCACCUUGUAAGGAAUAGAUAAAUAUAUUAUCCUUCAAACCAAACAAGAUAUAAAAAAUGUGAUUCCCACUUUAAGUGAUAAAUUUAUACCUCAUUAUAUUAUCCCUCCAUUUAGAGGGAUAAAAAGCAAAUAUACCAAAUUAUAUUGAUAUUACUAGCAAAAAAAAGUGUACAUUGUAAUGAAUGCAUAAGUAAUGUUAUUUUAUUUGAUAAAACUAAAAAAUAUAAAUAUAAUACUUCUUCCGUCCCCCAAAUAACUUUCUAGGAGGGUGGGGCCUGAGUUUUUUAAGACGAAAUGUGAAAAAUAAUUGGGUAAAAUAAAAUAUUGGAAGUGGUGAAAAUGUGAAAAAUAAGUUUAAAUGAGGAAUUAAUUGUGGUGGGAUUGUGUCCAAAAAUGGAAAGAGAAUUUUUUUUUUUGGAUGGAUCAAAAAGAAAAAUUAGGCAGAUAUUUGAGGGACGAUGGAAGUAUUUAUUAAAUUUAAAUUUUUAAUUAACAAUUUGGUCUAUUUGAUCCUAUAAUUAUAAUAAAACCUCUUUUAAACCCAACUAAAUAAAUAAAUUCUAUAAAUCAACAUAUUUCUUUGGUCCUGACUUGGGUCAAUAUAAAAAUCAUCGAUUUAAAUAAAAAUAAUAAAAUAAUAUUUUUUUGAGAAUUCCUUAUAGAUAUAUAGGUUUUGGUAAUAUUAUAAAUUUAAUAAUUGUUAAAAUAUAACAAUUAUAAAUAUUGAAAAAUAAUUUGGAAAUUUUGAUUUUCAAAAGUAUUGUUGUAAAAUCGGGUUGGGCAGAGGGGCCCAAAUGCCUUGCAAAAAUAUAAAGGGAGUGAGUUGGGUUGCUUACAUCCAUAUUAUAUAGUAAUACAAUAUCCUACAAGUUUGGGUUAAUGUUUAAAUCCAUCCUAAACUAAUACAAAAAAAAAAAAGACUGAAAUAGUACCCUUUGGAACAUCAACGAAGGUCUUCAUAACCAAUAUUGUCCUUUCACUUGUCAAUCUACAAAGCAAAGUAGUUUAAAGAGUUAUAUGCAUUAUUUAGAUAUUAUAAUAGUGAGAUAUAAAUUUUAUGGAUUAUUUGACAAACCUCAUGAAUCACACAAGAAGCUCAAUCCUCACGAACCUCGUCAAUCUCACGUUGAGAAUACUCUGAUUUAUAACUGGAACAACAUAAGUGCAUAACAUUGUUUUUAGUAAUUAUAGUAAACGUUAGCAACAAAUAAAUGCAUUUUCGUUACCAAUUUGGUCAUAGAAAUGGAGUCGUCACUUUCAAAUGCCUUUACUAUCUCUUUCAUAAACCUCAUCACAUAAAACCCGCAUUAUUUUGAAUCAGGUUGCACAACACCCUAUGUUGGAAAAUAUGAUAGGUUUGUAAUUAAAAAAUAAAGACUAAUAUAGCUACCAAUAAAAAUACUGACCUUAAUUUACAACUUCCCAACUUGGUGCUUUCUUGAAUUGUCUUUUGUCCUUGUUUGCAUUGAAAAUUGUCAUUGCCUUCAAAGAAAAGUAAUGGUACAUUAACAUUAAUAUCUUUUACGAAAGCAAUGAAAUUACUGCAAAUCCUAAAACAUACGUGUCGACCACAGAUUUCCAUGUUGCAUCACGAUUUCAAUGAGAAAUAGGGUCCAUCAAAUAGAUAUGAUCUUUGAAGGGCUGAAUGACUGUCAAAACCCAAUGUUCACUAUCCAUCAAAUAGCGCUAUGGGUUUCAGAAGGAAUUUUGAACCCAAUGAGUACCGGCAAAUGCUUGGAAACAAUUGCGCAAGAGUACUUAAAGGAGUUGGUCAAUAGAAAUCUGAUAAUAGUUGAUGAAUUGGGGUCUAUUAAUGGAAAUGUUAAGUAUAAUAUUGUAAAAUUCAUGAUCUGUUGAGGUGCUUGAAAGAAGUUGAAAAAGAGAGGUUUUAUCAUACCAUAGAAAAGUCUCCUUCAGUAAUAGAUAACUGCUAGAAGUAGGGUACGUAGUAAGUGACGUCUUGGGAUCUUUGUCACAUGUUAGUUCUAUAAUAUGUGGUUGGGGGGGGGGGGGGACUUUGAAAUGCCUCACAAUUUUAGAUUGUUGAGAACAUUCAAAGCAUAUGAUAGAGAUACACAUCCAUCAUUCGAUGAUUAUGCUGCGGGGCUUAUUUUUAAUUUCCUAGCUACAUCAUUUUAAACAACACUACAAAAUUGCAUAAUGAAUAUACCCAAUUGUGGUUCUACCUUAAAAUUUGUAUAUAAUAAAACUUAUUUUCUAAUGUCACGUUUAUUUUUCACUAAUCACACAAUUUUCAAUAAAUCUAUCAAUAUAAAAUUUGUAAUUAUUUAUAAAAAAUAAAUUUUAAAAAGAAAAAAAAAUGCACAUGUGUAUAACACGUAAUAUAUAUAUAAAUAUAUAUAUAUAAUUUCGUGCAUUAAUGUAUCCGGGGCAAUUUCGAUGUUGAAAAGUUAUUUAAUUUAAUUUAACAAUCUUAAUAAGAGAGAACUUUGCUACUAUUGGGAGGAAUAGUACUAUUCAAAAAAUAGUGCCCAGGGUAUUUUGGUAAUUUUGAUUUCAUUUGUGGGUUUUUUGCAAAAAACAAAAUUCUGCUUUAUCUUUCUCUCCACAGAUUUUUCUUCACUUUCACUUUUUACUACCACCUGCGUUUACAGCUUCAUAGCAAAAAAAAUAGAUUUCCUGUCAGAAUAUUUGCCGGUGAAAGUGCGAAAUCUGAUCAUAAUCCCAACAAAAAAUCACACUAGACAAGUCCAUUACACCAACAAAACAAGGAGGUGAGCUUUGUUCUGCACCCUGCUUUUAUCAUUUUCUUUUUUAUAACCCUAGAAUUUUUACAAGAAACUGAGCUCAGAAUAACAUAAUUGAAUUAGUCUUGGGGCUGGGUUUCUUGCUUUGUUGUUUGCUUUGAGGGUGCAGAUCGGGAACAUCGAGUCUUGGCUGAGUUUUAGCUAAGUUGUGGCUCAAUUUCUUGUGUCGUUGUCUGCGUUGAGAGUACUAGCCGGCGUCGGUAUCGCCAUCAGCAGCGGCUUUCUUAGCUGUUGAUAGUCGGACCGAGGUGAGAAGAGUGGGUCGACGAUGGGAAAUAACAGUGAGGUCCACGAGAGAACAAGCUAUUUUCUGGUUAUUCAUUGGAAAUUAAGAAAACAGGGGAAGAAGAAGAAGAGGGAUUUGGGGUUGAGAUUUACUCUUUAUUGCAAAUGUGAAAUGUACAUAGAGAAAUGAAGGUGUGAGAGAGAAAGAGAGUUAGAAUUUUACAAGAAACUGAGCUCAGAAUAACACAAUCGAAUUAGUCUUGGGGCCGGGUUAAUUUCUUGCUUUGUUGUUGUUCUGAAUUUUGGAGAAUGGGGUUCUAUUCUAGGACUAGGAGCAGAUUGGGUUAUUGCCUUUAGCCUGUAGGUUUUUUAAGGAUUCAUUACUUUGUGUUAUACGUGAUUAUUAUUUUCGGUUUCUGGUUUUCAACGGGCGCCCUGAGGGUCCACUUGUCUUUGCUCCCAUCAAAUUUGUUUCGGUGAGUCUCUGCCCUACUUUGAUUACAUAAUAGUAUUUUUGAGUUUCAUUUUCUUUUCAUAUUUUAUUAUAUCACCUGUUAAAUUACUGACUUCUCAUGCGUCAGGACUUUGACCAUAUUUUUCAGAUAUAUUAUUAUGGCAAAAAGAAGAUGUGUGCUUUCAAUGGAAGGUUACUUACUGUUGAGCUUUCUGUUUUUAUUUUAUUUUGUAACUCAUUUGUAUCACUCGCACACUUACCUUUAUUUAUUUCUUGUUUUUGUUUUGAAGUAUGGUGUAUGAGAAUUUUAAUUAUUAUAUAAUGCAUGUUGCCAGAUGUGUAGUCGCACCUACUAUUUACUUUCCAAUUCUUUGUUGCUUUUAUCUGUUUUGAUGCAGAUUUAAUAUUAUUUUUGUGUUCAGAUGGCUCAGACGGCCACGUGACAACUUCAAGAUGUUUAUUUUUUAGUUUACCUCCUCCGUCUGCAAAUGAUAUGGCUAUGCCAAUUUUCUUUGGCUUUGAGUGUUCACAUUCUCUAACUACUCAGUCGAGAAGUUUGCGAGGUGCAUAAUGUUUGUUGAAUUGUAUCUAGAUUUGCACAAUUUAAUUUAACAUUAUGUGGGAUUGCUUAGCAAGUGAUGUUGCUAUUAUUUUUUUAUUGGCCAUGGUUUUUAAUUUUCAGAUAAGACUUCGAAAAUAAGAAAGAGACAUGUUCUCGUUGUUGACACUGGUGGGAGUGUUCCAAUCUCACAAGUGACAGGUUAAGAUUUCUCUUGUAUUUAUUUUAAAUUUCUUUAGAGUUUUUAAGAAUUUACAUAUAUUUGAAA